RNAcentral lists this ribosomal RNA (450 nucleotides) under uncultured bacterium. Its description in RNAcentral is "bacterial SSU rRNA". It matches the Rfam family "Bacterial small subunit ribosomal RNA", at positions 29 to 518 of the family's 1533-position model. The record is from RNAcentral.
AACGAACGCUGGCGGCAGGCUUAACACAUGCAAGUCGAACGAUGUAGCAAUACAUAGUGGCGCACGGGUGAGUAACGCGUGGGAAUGUACCAUUUGGUGGGGAAUAACUUUGGGAAACUAAAGCUAAUACCGCAUACGCCCGAGAGGGGAAAGAUUUAUCGCCAAAUGAUCAGCCCGCGUGAGAUUAGGUAGUUGGUGGGGUAAUGGCCUACCAAGCCGACGAUCGGUAGCUGGUCUGAGAGGAUGACCAGCCACACUGGAACUGAGACACGGUCCAGACUCCUACGGGAGGCAGCAGUGGGGAAUAUUGGACAAUGGGGGGAAACCCUGAUCCAGCAAUGCCGCGUGGGUGAUGAAGGCCUUCGGUUGUAAGACCCUUUACGUCGGGGACGGAGUGAUGACGGUACCCGGCAGAAUAAAGCCCCGGCCUAACUUCGUGCCAGCAGCCGC